GCGGAGGGGAGAGCGCCUUGGCCGCUGGGAUGUCGAGUGCCACCGUGUCCCUGAGGUCACCCUUUCUGCUGUUGGGAGAGCACGAGGUGGAUGGAGAGGAUCCCCAGGCAUCUGCAGGCACAAGGGACUCGCACAGCUGUGAUUUUCCUCCAGCCCUCGUGAGAGGGACUUUCAGGGUACCAUGGGUCAUGUGCCAGCUCUCCUGCUGGAGCUUUUGUCUGCUGUAUUUGAACACAAAGAGUAGAACUAAAGUCAGGGAAUAACUCCUGUCAGCAGCAAGGCCCCGACUGAAGUGG
This is a long non-coding RNA of Pipra filicauda (Wire-tailed manakin), 296 nucleotides long. RefSeq lists it as uncharacterized. NCBI's taxonomy places the organism in Eukaryota, Metazoa, Chordata, Aves, Passeriformes, Pipridae. The record is from RefSeq and is a predicted model, not a curated record. The transcript has 3 exons.